GCCAGCGUGGUGUAAUGGUUUUGUGUCGGACUAUGACUCUGGAGACCAGGGUUCGAUUCCCAGCUCAGCCA
Phrynosoma platyrhinos (Desert horned lizard) is the source of this 71-nucleotide non-coding RNA. NCBI's taxonomy places the organism in Eukaryota, Metazoa, Chordata, Lepidosauria, Squamata, Phrynosomatidae. The record is from the annotation of a GenBank genome assembly.